This 253-nucleotide ribosomal RNA is filed under the name uncultured bacterium. RNAcentral's name for it is "partial 16S ribosomal RNA". It matches the Rfam family "Bacterial small subunit ribosomal RNA", at positions 524 to 776 of the family's 1533-position model. The record is from RNAcentral.
UACGUAGGUGGCAAGCGUUAUCCGGAAUUAUUGGGCGUAAAGCGCGCGUAGGCGGUUUCUUAAGUCUGAUGUGAAAGCCUUCGGCUUAACCGGAGUAGUGCAUUGGAAACUGGGAGACUUGAGUGCAGAAGAGGAGAGUGGAACUCCAUGUGUAGCGGUGAAAUGCGUAGAUAUAUGGAAGAACACCAGUGGCGAAAGCGGCUCUCUGGUCUGUAACUGACGCUGAGGUUCGAAAGCGUGGGUAGCAAACAGG